RNAcentral lists this ribosomal RNA (253 nucleotides) under uncultured bacterium. RNAcentral's name for it is "partial 16S ribosomal RNA". It matches the Rfam family "Bacterial small subunit ribosomal RNA", at positions 524 to 776 of the family's 1533-position model. The record is from RNAcentral.
UACGGGGGGGGCAAGCGUUGUUCGGAAUUACUGGGCGUAAAGGGCUCGUAGGCGGCCAACUAAGUCAGACGUGAAAUCCCUCGGCUUAACCGGGGAACUGCGUCUGAUACUGGAUGGCUAGAGGUUGGGAGAGGGAUGCGGAAUUCCAGGUGUAGCGGUGAAAUGCGCAGAUAUCAGGAGGAACACCAGUGGCGAAGGCGCCACUCUGGGCCGUAACUGACGCUGAGACACGAAAGCGUGGGUAGCAAACAGG